UCCGGUUUGGCACCGGCAGUCCCCCGCGAGUCCUCAGCGCCUUGCGGCCUGUUAGCAACACGGGGCGGGGGUUGCGCUCGUUGCGGGACUUAACCCAACAUCUCACGACACGAGCUGACGACAGCCAUGCAGCACCUGUGCACGAGCUCCGAAGAGAAGCUCCUGUUUCCAGGAGCGAUCCCGUGCAUGUCAAGCCUAGGUAAGGUUCUGCGCGUUGCGUCGAAUUAAACCACAUGCUCCACCGCUUGUGCGGGCCCCCGUCAAUUCCUUUGAGUUUCAGCCUUGCGGCCGUACUCCCCAGGCGGGGCACUUCAUGCGUUAGCGCCGGUACCCUGAGGGUCGCUCCCCAAAGCACCUAGUGCCCAUCGUUUACGGCGUGGACUAC
RNAcentral lists this unclassified non-coding RNA (385 nucleotides) under uncultured Gemmatimonadaceae bacterium. Its description in RNAcentral is "contains 16S-23S intergenic spacer region". The record is from RNAcentral. Lineage: Bacteria; Pseudomonadati; Gemmatimonadota; Gemmatimonadia; Gemmatimonadales; Gemmatimonadaceae.